Molecule: ribosomal RNA, 250 nt
Filed under: uncultured prokaryote
Description: partial 16S ribosomal RNA
Rfam family: Bacterial small subunit ribosomal RNA
Source: RNAcentral
UACGUAGGGGGCGAGCGUUGUCCGGAAUGACUGGGCGUAAAGGGCGUGUAGGCGGCCGACUAAGUCUGGAGUGAAAGUCCCGGAUUCAAUUUGGGAAUUGCUUUGGAUACUGGUCGGCUUGAGUGCGGAAGAGGUAAGUGGAAUUCCCAGUGUAGCGGUGAAAUGCGUAGAGGUUGGGAGGAACACCAGUGGCGAAGGCGACUUACUGGGCCGUAACCGACGCUGAGGCGCGAAAGCGUGGGAAGCGAAC